RNAcentral lists this ribosomal RNA (428 nucleotides) under uncultured bacterium. Its description in RNAcentral is "bacterial SSU rRNA". It matches the Rfam family "Bacterial small subunit ribosomal RNA", at positions 355 to 796 of the family's 1533-position model. The record is from RNAcentral.
UCAAGAACAUUUGGCAAUGGGCGAAAGCCUGACCACGCGACGCCGCGUGAUGGACGAAGUCCUUCGGGACGUAAACAUCUUUUAUGCGUGAAGAAGUAAUUGACAUUAGCGCACGAAUAAGGGGCUCCUAACUCUGUGCCAGCAGGAGCGGUAAUACAGAGGCCCCAAGCAUUAUCCGGAAUCACUGGGCGUAAAGGGUGUGUAGGCGGUCGUGUUAGUCUAUCGUUAAAGCACUUGGGCUUAACCCAGGUAAUGCGAUAGAAACGGCACGACUCGAGGACGCGAGAGGUAGAGGGAACUCAUGGUGUAGGGGUGAAAUCCGUUGAUAUCAUGGGGAACACCAAAUGCGAAGGCACUCUACUGGCGCGCUCCUGACGCUGAAACACGAAAGCGUGGGAAUCGAACGGGAUUAGAUACCCCCGUAGUCC